CCUACGGGGGGCUGCAGUGGGGAAUAUUGCACAAUGGGGGAAACCCUGAUGCAGCGACGCCGCGUGAGUGAUGAAGUAUUUCGGUAUGUAAAGCUCUAUUAGCAGGGAAGAAAAUGACGGUACCUGAUUAAUAAGCACCGGCUAACUCCGUGCCAGCAGCCGCGGUAAUACGGAGGGGGCAAGCGUUACUCGGAAUUACUGGGUGUAAAGGGAGCGUAGACGGGAGCACAAGUCUGGAGUGAAAUGCCGGGGCUUAACCCCGGAACUGCUUUGGAAACUGUGCAGCUAGAGUGAGGGAGAGGUAGGUGGAAUUCCUGGUGUAGCGGUGAAAUGCGUAGAUAUUAAGAGGAACACCCGUGGCGAAGGCGGCUUACUGGACUGUAACUGACGUUGAGGCUCGAAAGCGUGGGGAGCAAACAGGAUUAGAUACCCGGGUAGUC
Molecule: ribosomal RNA, 440 nt
Filed under: uncultured bacterium
Lineage: Bacteria
Description: partial 16S ribosomal RNA
Rfam family: Bacterial small subunit ribosomal RNA
Source: RNAcentral